This 484-nucleotide ribosomal RNA is filed under the name uncultured bacterium. RNAcentral describes it as "bacterial SSU rRNA". It matches the Rfam family "Bacterial small subunit ribosomal RNA", at positions 28 to 509 of the family's 1533-position model. The record is from RNAcentral.
GAUGAACGCUAGCGGCAGGCCUAACACAUGCAAGUCGAACGAGAUUGAGGAGCUUGCUCCUCAUGAAAGUGGCGCACGGGUGCGUAACGCGUAUGCAAUCUACCUUAAUCAGGGGGAUAGCCCGGAGAAAUCCGGAUUAAUACCGCAUAACGUCAUUUUAUGGCAUCAUAGAAUAACCAAACAUUUAUGGGAUUAAGAUGAGCAUGCGUGACAUUAGUUAGUUGGUGAGGUAACGGCUCACCAAGACUACGAUGUCUAGGGGAUCUGAGAGGAUGACCCCCCACACUGGUACUGAGACACGGACCAGACUCCUACGGGAGGCAGCAGUAAGGAAUAUUGGUCAAUGGGCGCAAGCCUGAACCAGCCAUGCCGCGUGCAGGAAGACGGCCCUAUGGGUUGUAAACUGCUUUUAUUCGGGAAUAAACCUCUUUACGUGUAAGGAGCUGAAUGUACCGAAGGAAUAAGGAUCGGCUAACUCCGUGCC